This 242-nucleotide long non-coding RNA is filed under the name Mus spicilegus (steppe mouse). RNAcentral's name for it is "lncRNA (ENSMSIG00000015232.1)". Lineage: Eukaryota; Metazoa; Chordata; Mammalia; Rodentia; Muridae. The record is from RNAcentral.
CUCCUUUGCUUCCUCUGACGUUAUCUAACUUGACAUUGCCAAGACUUCAUCAGCUGCCCCCUCACCGACUCCACAACCCCAGUGUGGAACUGACCCCUAAGGACAGGCUCCAUGUUCACUGCUGGGAGCUUGGAUGCUGUUCCUGGUUCUGCAUGACAAAGCCUGAGCUUGCUCUUCGAUACCAGAGUUCCAUUCUCUUCUGGCAAUCACACUGGUCAACACUGUCACCUUAGGCUGAGCUA